CAACAGUACGUGAAACCGCAUAGAGGUAAACGGGUGGAUCCGCAAAGUCGGCCCGCGGAAUUCAGCUCGGAAGGCUGCGCGCCUGCCGCCGGGUAGGAGAUCGCAAGACUCUCCUGGCGUGGGACGCGUGCCGGCCGUGUGCACUUUCCGUGGGCAGAGCGCCACGACCGGUUUCUGGGCGGUCAGAAGGCGGCGAGGAUGGUAGGCGCGCGCCUCGGUGCGCGCUGGUAUAGCCUCGCCUGUCCCGAUCCGCCUGGGGACCGAGGAGCCGCCGUGGGCUGGGGCCGCCUCGCCCUCCCGGGACGUUCGACUGGCAGAGACUGGGUGACCGUGUCUGCCGACCGCUUCCUGGGACGGACUGGGGUGGGCCCGCCCUCACAGGGUCAGUGGCGAAUCGGUCGGCCCUCCACCCGACCCGUCUUGAAACACGGACCAAGGAGUCUAACAUGCGCGCGAGUCGUUGGGUCGUACGAAACCCGAAGGCGAAGUGAAAGCGAGGGCCGUCUCUGACGUGCUCAGGUGGGAUCCUGGUCCCUCUGCGGGCUGGGCGCACCACCGGCCCGUCUCGUCCGCGCCGU
This 578-nucleotide ribosomal RNA is filed under the name Lophiotoma acuta. Its description in RNAcentral is "eukaryotic LSU rRNA". Lineage: Eukaryota; Metazoa; Mollusca; Gastropoda; Neogastropoda; Turridae. The record is from RNAcentral.